GUGUCAGCCGCCGCGGUAAUACGUAGGGAGCAAGCGUUAUCCGGAUUUACUGGGUGUAAAGGGCGCGUAGGCGGGACUGCAAGUCAGAUGUGAAAUCUGAGGGCUCAACCCUCAAACUGCAUUUGAAACUGUGGUUCUUGAGUGAUGGAGAGGCAAGUGGAAUUCCUAGUGUAGCGGUGAAAUGCGUAGAUAUUAGGAGGAACCCCAGUGGCGAAGGCGACUUGCUGGACAUUAACUGA
This 239-nucleotide ribosomal RNA is filed under the name uncultured bacterium. Its description in RNAcentral is "partial 16S rRNA". It matches the Rfam family "Bacterial small subunit ribosomal RNA", at positions 505 to 743 of the family's 1533-position model. The record is from RNAcentral.